Symphalangus syndactylus (siamang) is the source of this 779-nucleotide long non-coding RNA. RefSeq lists it as uncharacterized. The record is from RefSeq and is a predicted model, not a curated record. Lineage: Eukaryota; Metazoa; Chordata; Mammalia; Primates; Hylobatidae.
CACUUCCCAACAAGAGUUAGAGUUUAUUUCCCCUCCCCCGAACCUGGACUGUGCUUUGCACUGUUGAAUAGAAUGUGGUGGGAGUGAAACUAUGGGACUUCCAAGGUGAGGUCAUAAAAGAUGGUACUGCUUCUGCCUAGCUCACUCAAGAACCCAACCCCCAUAGUGUGAGGAGGCCUAGGACAGUUACAGAAGCCAUGUGUAGGUGUUGUGGCUCCAGCAAAGGUCUCAUCUGAUAACAUCAACUACAUGGAGCCAUGGAGAAGAGGAGACAGAGUGUGCAAGGGAAUGAAGAAGAGGACCAAGACUAUUUUCAAAUCACCCAUGGCACUACUAGAAAAGUAUUUCAGCAAAACUACUGGCUGAUUUUAUGAUUCCCGUGUCCACCACAGCCCUCUAAUUUUUACAUAGGUACCCCACAUCUCUCCAGAUUUCAGGAAGACUAUUAUCCUUCGGCUUUAGCUUUCUGAUGGGUUCACAAAAAGCCAUUAGUGUGCUGUUGGUCCAGCUUUUUUCCUGUUGCAAAUACGAGAGCUACAGUUCUGAGAUGAAACCAUAGGGGCAGAGUUCUUGUGGAAGGAAUGAGUCCAGUGUGGUCUGUGGUGUGCAUGAGAAAAUAAGCAGCAAAGGGCUGUACCUGAAGCAUAGUGCUGGCAUCUGCCUCCGGUAAGGACCUCAAGAAGCUUCCAGUCAUGGCAGAAGGUGAAGGGGAGCCAGCAUGUCACGUGGCGAGAGGAGCAAGAGGGGUAGGAUUUCUAGGCUCUUUUUAACAACCAGCU